GGCCUUCAAUCUACCUGUUGACAAAUCUUAAAUUUUGUCACGGUAGAGAGUCUACUGUUCAAUGUCUGACGCAGCCGUUUACCCUUCCGGAGCACCUUUGAUCAACCAGGUUUUAGGUGGGGUUCGUGUACUAGUCUGAAGCUAGUGUUCGUGUUGCUCAGUCUAUGUUGUGAUUUGCCAAUGUUGUUAGUCUUUUUUGUCAUAGUGUUGUCAGUUUCUUUUUGACUUUUGAGUUUGAAUGUCCAUUCAAUUUUUGAUAUCACUGGUCUCUCUUUUUUGAUAAUAAGAUUGCUUUACAAUUACAAAAUGAUUCGUUUAAUAUGUAAUUAAGAUUCUGAAUAUCCCAGAGAGUCAAAUUACAAACACCGUAAAGCACGCG
Molecule: long non-coding RNA, 379 nt
Filed under: Mytilus galloprovincialis (Mediterranean mussel)
Lineage: Eukaryota; Metazoa; Mollusca; Bivalvia; Mytilida; Mytilidae
Source: RNAcentral